This 207-nucleotide long non-coding RNA is filed under the name Capsicum annuum. RNAcentral's name for it is "long non-coding RNA (CANN_LNC004658)". Lineage: Eukaryota; Viridiplantae; Streptophyta; Magnoliopsida; Solanales; Solanaceae. The record is from RNAcentral.
CAUAUAACAAUCCAAAGGGAGUAAGAAAAUUAAAAUAAAAGUUUAGCAUUUCUAAAAGUGAAAUAUCAUUUCACAAUCAUACUAUGUGUGACAAAAUAUCUAAAUAAUUCUAUUUAACCACAAAAAUCAGAACUUUCUCAUCAUUUUGACAAAUUAAAAACAUGCGAAAAAAUAAAAAAUAAAAAGACAAAUAAACAUCUUGGAUGA